This 448-nucleotide ribosomal RNA is filed under the name uncultured soil bacterium. Its description in RNAcentral is "bacterial SSU rRNA". It matches the Rfam family "Bacterial small subunit ribosomal RNA", at positions 951 to 1384 of the family's 1533-position model. The record is from RNAcentral.
UAGUGAUUAACGCGAAGAACCUUACCUGGGCUAGACAACGGUGGAUCGUCCUAGAAAUAGGAUUUUCCCUUCGGGGACUGCCGGUUCAGGUGCUGCAUGGCUGUCGUCAGCUCGUGCCGUGAGGUGUUGGGUUAAGUCCCGCAACGAGCGCAACCCUCGUCCUUAGUUGCCACCAUUCAGUUGGGCACUCUAGGGAGACUGCCGGCGUUAAGCCGGAGGAAGGUGGGGACGACGUCAAGUCAUCAUGGCCCUUAUGUCCAGGGCCACACACGUGCUACAAUGGGCGGUACAAAGGGUCGCAAACCCGCGAGGGGGAGCCAAUCCCAAAAAGCCGCUCUCAGUUCGGAUUGGAGUCUGCAACUCGACUCCAUGAAGUUGGAAUCGCUAGUAAUCGCGGAUCAGCACGCCGCGGUGAAUACGUUCCCGGGCCUUGUCACACCGAAUCGAA